Molecule: unclassified non-coding RNA, 184 nt
Filed under: uncultured fungus
Lineage: Eukaryota; Fungi
Description: sequence contains ITS1, 5.8S rRNA gene
Source: RNAcentral
UUAACUAUUUUAUAGUACUCAGACGACAUUUAAUACAGAGUUGUGGUCCUCUGGCGGGCACGAUCCAGCCGAAGCCGGUGCUUGCGCGGCCCACCAAAGCAACAAAUUGAGAUAAUCAAGGGUUAGAAGGACCGGUUUCCCGGCUUCAUUUUUAAUGAUCCUUCCGCAGGUUCACCUACGGAAA